AACAAGGUUUCCGUAGGUGAACCUGCGGAAGGAUCAUUGUCGCCUGUCCGGAAAAAACACGACCGUUGCGCACGUAACCUAACCUACUGCCGCCGGGGAGGCGUCGUCGCCCCGGCCCACCGGCCACGGCCCUCCCUCGGGCGGGCCGUGCGUCGGAAAUACGGCGCGGGUUUGCGCCAAGGAACACGAGAUGCUAAGGCGGCCGGCCCGCCGCUCCGGUGCGUUGCCUGCCGUCGAUGCAAAGGAACACAUGAUGACUCUCGGCAACGGAUAUCUAGGCUCUCGCAUCGAUGAAGAACGUAGCGAAAUGCGAUACGUGGUGUGAAUUGCAGAAUCCCGCGAACCAUCGAGUCUUUGAACGCAAGUUGCGCCCGAGGGAUCUGCCCUAGGGCACGCCUGCCUCAUGGGCGUUAGAUGCCCAUCCACGCUCGUGAGCCAUACUCGGCCGCGAUGCGGAUCAUGGCCCUCCGAGCCCGAGGGCGCGGUGGGCCCAAGUGUUCGGCCGUCGGGGGAGCUGGGAGCGGCGAGUGGUGGAACGCUGCGUGCGUCGCCCUGCGCCCCUUGCCGGCACAUGGCUUUGACCGACCCUCGAACGAGGAGCCGCGCCGAUUACUGUGGCGCGGCACUUUCGGAUCGAUACCCCAGGUCAGGCGGGGCUACCCGCCGAACACACAAACCCAC
This 681-nucleotide ribosomal RNA is filed under the name Schoenus insolitus. RNAcentral's name for it is "eukaryotic LSU rRNA". The stretch from base 256 to 410 matches the Rfam family "5.8S ribosomal RNA". The record is from RNAcentral. Lineage: Eukaryota; Viridiplantae; Streptophyta; Magnoliopsida; Poales; Cyperaceae.